UAUGAAAUCCUUGUGCCACUCCGGGCAGGAUAGUUCCUGGGCUCAGUUAUCCUUUGAAACUUUCCUGGGUGAUCUGUCCUCACAGCCCCCUACCUUCCUGGGUCUGUCCCAUUGAAAACAUUACAUUCACUCUUUUUAAGUCUCUGUUUUACAGUAUCUGUAAGCUGUAGUUCAUCAACGGGUCUUGAGAAACAGUAUAAAAUAGUUCUGAAGAGGCAAGAAAGAGGAAAUUUCUGAAAAAGGCUCCAUGAAAUGGGUCAGAGAGAAUGAAAAAACCAAGUGUAAUAAAUACUACACAAGUUCAGAGUGCUGCUGCUUCACGGGAGGAUUUUCAUUUAUCCAGCUGCCUCCGGCUACUUCUGACGGCCUGGAGUCUCUCCGGCCCAUGUGGCAAACUGACCCUUGUUACAAGUUGGACUUCCGCAGGCCGCCUGGACUCCUGCUUGGCGACGGGACUAGAAGACAAAGCUUCCGGUACUUCACUGUGUUUUAUUCAUUAAAACCUCAUGCAGACUUGACCCCGUGCAGCAUGGAGUGCUGAGUUCAAUGAGAGAAAAUAGAGUGAUCAUGACACUAAAGAUGGGUGCAAAACCCAGGGGAGAGAACCAAG
This is a long non-coding RNA of Suricata suricatta (meerkat), 610 nucleotides long. RefSeq lists it as uncharacterized. The transcript has 3 exons. The record is from RefSeq and is a predicted model, not a curated record. NCBI's taxonomy places the organism in Eukaryota, Metazoa, Chordata, Mammalia, Carnivora, Herpestidae.